UCGAGAAUCUUCCGCAAUGCACGAAAGUGUGACGGAGCGACACCGCGUGAUUGAUGAAGCCCCUCGGGGUGUAAAGAUCUUUUAUGAGUGAAGAAGUAUAUUGACAUUAGCUCAUGAAUAAGGGGCUCCUAAUCUCGUGCCAGCAGGAGCGGUAAUACGAGAGCCCCAAGCAUUAUCCGGAAUUAUUGGGCGUAAAGGGUGCGUAGGUGGCUGUAUUAGUCGUAUUUCAAAGACCUGUGCUCAACACGGGGAAGGGAUACGAAACGGUACGGCUUGAGUAUGUGAGAGGUGUGCGGAACUCAUGGAGUAGGGGUGAAAUCCGUUGAUAUCAUGGGGAACACCAAAAGCGAAGGCAGCACACUGGCACAUUACUGACACUGAGGCACGAAAGCGUGGGUAG
RNAcentral lists this ribosomal RNA (400 nucleotides) under uncultured bacterium. Its description in RNAcentral is "bacterial SSU rRNA". It matches the Rfam family "Bacterial small subunit ribosomal RNA", at positions 355 to 768 of the family's 1533-position model. The record is from RNAcentral.